CUACGUGCCAGCAGCCGCGGUAAUACGUAGGUCCCGAGCGUUGUCCGGAUUUAUUGGGCGUAAAGCGAGCGCAGGCGGUUAGAUAAGUCUGAAGUUAAAGGCUGUGGCUUAACCAUAGUACGCUUUGGAAACUGUUUAACUUGAGUGCAAGAGGGGAGAGUGGAAUUCCAUGUGUAGCGGUGAAAUGCGUAGAUAUAUGGAGGAACACCGGUGGCGAAAGCGGCUCUCUGGCUUGUAACUGACGCUGAGGCUCGAAAGCGUGGGGAGCAAACAGGAUUAGAUACCCUGGUAGUCCACGCCGUAAACGAUGAGUGCUAGGUGUUAGACCCUUUCCGGGGUUUAGUGCCGCAGCUAACGCAUUAAGCACUCCGCCUGGGGAGUACGACCGCAAGGUUGAAACUCAAAUGAAUUGACGGGGGCCCGCACAAGCGGUGGAGCAUGUGGUUUAAUUCGAUGCAACGCGAAGAACCUUACCUACUCUUGACAUCCAGA
RNAcentral lists this ribosomal RNA (492 nucleotides) under uncultured bacterium. Its description in RNAcentral is "bacterial SSU rRNA". It matches the Rfam family "Bacterial small subunit ribosomal RNA", at positions 501 to 992 of the family's 1533-position model. The record is from RNAcentral.